RNAcentral lists this small nucleolar RNA (193 nucleotides) under Propithecus coquereli (Coquerel's sifaka). RNAcentral's name for it is "Small nucleolar RNA U3 (ENSPCOG00000010362.1)". It matches the Rfam family "Small nucleolar RNA U3". Rfam says of the family: Small nucleolar RNAs (snoRNAs) are involved in the processing and modification of rRNA in the nucleolus. There are two main classes of snoRNAs: the box C/D class, and the box H/ACA class. Lineage: Eukaryota; Metazoa; Chordata; Mammalia; Primates; Indriidae. The record is from Rfam by way of RNAcentral.
CCAAGACUACUUUUAGGGAUCGUUUCUAUAGUUCAUUAUUGGAGAAGUUUCUCUGAACCAGAAAACACCAGGAGGAGGUACAGCAUUCUCUCCUGAGCAUGAAGCCAGUACUUGGUGUUGCUUCACUGCAAUCGCCAUUUGCCAUUGAUGACGGUGAGUGGUUCCUGUGGGUGGGUGGGGGGAAGCUUCCUAA